Long non-coding RNA from Phascolarctos cinereus (koala), 1403 nucleotides. The record is from Ensembl. NCBI's taxonomy places the organism in Eukaryota, Metazoa, Chordata, Mammalia, Diprotodontia, Phascolarctidae.
CCCCGCCUCCGCCUUCCCCUCUCUCUGAUGGGAGAGCUCUUUUUGGGCUGUGUCCCCUUGAGGAGUGUCUUUCAGUACUCUCCAGGCUCCUGAGGGGGCGUGACUUAAGCGCUGAAGCCACGCCCUUCCCGGGGCUAUUCCCGUCUAUUCUAGGAGCUUCUUUCUGGGUUCUCCAGACCCUCCCCCAGAAAGGUGGCGGGGGAGCGUUCUGUGAAGAAAGACCCCGCCCCCGAAUAAGCCCGCCCACACGCCCGCGGAGGAGAAGCCUCUCCCUGAGCCAGGUCCUGGAGGGGGCGUGGCCUCGGAGCUCUUAUUUUGGCUCUUAUGAGGGUGCAGGAGAGGGCGUGACCUAGGAGCACAGGCCCAUUUUUUGGAGGGGGGGUGUUAGCCCUGGAGGUGGGCGUGGUCUGUGUUCUGAAGGUCCUGUCUUUCGGGUUCCGACAGAAGCUGGGGUGGGGGCGUGUCCUGGGAGCUCCGGCCCCGCCCCUCACAGGGGCUUCUUAAAGUCUCAGCGUCCCUCGGGCUCUCCCUGACGUAGGCCGAGGUGAGGGCGUGUCCGUCGCGCCCAGGCACCGCCUCUUCCGGGGGCGCGCGCGCGCUCUCUCCCUCUCUCAGUGCGGUGGGAGGCUCUCGGUGGGCCAGGAGGCGGAGGGGGCGUGUCCGUGCCGCUCGUAGCCCCGCCCCAGGCCUCCCUCUCUCUCCCUCCCUCCUUCCUUCCCUCUCAGCUCGGCUCGGCUCGGCUCGGUUUUGCUCGGCUGGGCUCGCGCUGGCGCCGGUGCGCGCUCCCGCCCGGCGUCUCGUGGGCGCGCUCUGUGUGGCCGCCGCCGCCAUGUUGUUGUGGUGGUGAGGCGGAGCGGCGGCGGAGGAGCCGGAGCCGGAGCCGGAGCCGGAGCCGGGGCCGCAGCCGAAGUCGCAGCCGCAGCCGCAGCCGCAGCCGCAGCCGGAGCAGCCCGCGGCCGAGACACGCACGCGCCGGCCCGGCCCCGGGGCGCCCGCGCAGGCCGCCCCCCUCCCUGCGGCCCGAGCGUCGCGUCGAGGGCGGAGGAGGAGGAGGAGGAGGAAGAGGGAGGGCAGGGGGAGGGGGCCCUGGCUGGGGGCGGAGGAGCCGAGGCCGCGGCCCACCGGGGGCUCCGCCAUGUCCUGCUGCCCCUGCCCCCGCCCCUGCCGCCGCUGCCGCCGCCGCUGUCCGAGCGUCUGCUGCCGCCCUCGGGGCCUGGUUUCGAUGUGAACUGUAUUAGCAGAAAAAAAUCUUUGAAAAAUUAUUGACAAAGAAUCUACAUUUGGUAAGUCUGCAUUCUCUUUUCUACUUUUCUCUAUUGUGCUGAGUAAAGAACCAUAUCAAUGCAGGAAAGAAUAAUUAGCAAAUUCAUUAAUUAGGAGAAUGUUCAUUUUUAUUAGCAAAU